This is a non-coding RNA of Acanthosepion pharaonis, 112 nucleotides long. Lineage: Eukaryota; Metazoa; Mollusca; Cephalopoda; Sepiida; Sepiidae. The record is from the annotation of a GenBank genome assembly.
AUGGCUAUAUCACAUUGAAACACCGGUUCUCAUAUGAUCACUGAAGUUAAGCGAUGUCAAGCCUGGUUAGUACCUAGCUGGGUGACCUCUUGGAAAUAUUAGGUACUGUAAG